Molecule: ribosomal RNA, 253 nt
Filed under: uncultured bacterium
Lineage: Bacteria
Description: partial 16S ribosomal RNA
Rfam family: Bacterial small subunit ribosomal RNA
Source: RNAcentral
UACAGAGGUCUCAAGCGUUGUUCGGAUUCAUUGGGCGUAAAGGGUGCGUAGGCGGCGCGGUAAGUCGGGUGUGAAAUCUUGGAGCUUAACUCCGAAACUGCAUUCGAUACUGCCGUGCUUGAGGACUGGAGAGGAGACUGGAAUUUACGGUGUAGCGGUGAAAUGCGUAGAUAUCGUAAGGAAGACCAGUGGCGAAGGCGGGUCUCUGGACAGUUCCUGACGCUGAGGCACGAAGGCCUGGGGAGCAAACGGG